UACAGCGGUCUCAAGCGUUGUUCGGAUUCAUUGGGCGUCAAGGGUGCGUAGGCGGCGCGGUAAGUCGGGGGUGAAAUCUUGGAGCUUAACUCCGAAACUGCAUUCGAUACUGCCGUGCUUGAGGACUGGAGAGGAGACUGGAAUUUACGGUGUAGCGGUGAAAUGCGUAGAUAUCGUAAGGAAGACCAGUGGCGAAGGCGGGUCUCUGGACAGUUCCUGACGCUGAGGCACGAAGGCCAGGGGAGCAAACGGG
Molecule: ribosomal RNA, 253 nt
Filed under: uncultured bacterium
Lineage: Bacteria
Description: partial 16S ribosomal RNA
Rfam family: Bacterial small subunit ribosomal RNA
Source: RNAcentral